This 811-nucleotide ribosomal RNA is filed under the name uncultured bacterium. RNAcentral describes it as "bacterial SSU rRNA". It matches the Rfam family "Bacterial small subunit ribosomal RNA", at positions 12 to 811 of the family's 1533-position model. The record is from RNAcentral.
UCCUGGAUCCAGGCUCAUGAUGAACGCUAGCUACUGGCUUAACACAUGCAAGUCGAGGGGCAGCGGGAUUGAAGCUUGCUUCAAUUGCCGGCGACCGGCGCACGGGUGAGUAACGCGUAUCCAACCUUCCGUACACUCAGGGAUAGCCUUUCGAAAGAAAGAUUAAUACCUGAUGGUAUGAUGAGAUUGCAUGAUAGCAUCAUUAAAGAUUUAUCGGUGUACGAUGGGGAUGCGUUCCAUUAGGUAGUAGGCGGGGUAACGGCCCACCUAGCCAACGAUGGAUAGGGGUUCUGAGAGGAAGGUCCCCCACAUUGGAACUGAGACACGGUCCAAACUCCUACGGGAGGCAGCAGUGAGGAAUAUUGGUCAAUGGACGAGAGUCUGAACCAGCCAAGUAGCGUGAAGGAUGAAGGUCCUACGGAUUGUAAACUUCUUUUAUAAGGGAAUAAACCCUCCCACGUGUGGGAGCUUGUAUGUACCUUAUGAAUAAGCAUCGGCUAACUCCGUGCCAGCAGCCGCGGUAAUACGGAGGAUGCGAGCGUUAUCCGGAUUUAUUGGGUUUAAAGGGAGCGCAGGCUGCGAGGCAAGUCAGCGGUCAAAUGUCGGGGCUCAACCCCGGCCUGCCGUUGAAACUGUCCUGCUAGAGUUCGAGUGAGGUAUGCGGAAUGCGUUGUGUAGCGGUGAAAUGCAUAGAUAUGACGCAGAACUCCGAUUGCGAAGGCAGCAUACCAACUCGCGACUGACGCUGAGGCUCGAAAGCGUGGGUAUCGAACAGGAUUAGAUACCCUGGUAGUCCACGCAGUAAACGAUG